AACGAACGCUGGCGGCAUGCCUAACACAUGCAAGUCGAACGAGACCUUCGGGACUAGUGGCGCACGGGUGCGUAACGCGGGGGAACCUGCCCGUAGGCUCGGAAUAACUCUCCGAAAGGGGUGCUAAUACCGGAAAAUGUCCUCGGACCAAAGAUUCAUCGUCUUUGGAUGGGCCCGCGUUGGAUUAGCUUGUUGGUAGGGUAAAAGCCUACCAAGGCGACGAUCCAUAGCUGGUCUGAGAGGAUGAUCAGCCACACUGGGACUGAGACACGGCCCAGACUCCUACGGGAGGCAGCAGUGGGGAAUAUUGGACAAUGGGCGAAAGCCUGAUCCAGCAAUGCCGCGUGAGUGAUGAAGGCCUUAGGGUUGUAAAGCUCUUUUACCCGGGAUGAUAAUGACAGUACCGGGAGAAUAAGCUCCGGCUAACUCCGUG
This 433-nucleotide ribosomal RNA is filed under the name uncultured bacterium. RNAcentral describes it as "partial 16S ribosomal RNA". It matches the Rfam family "Bacterial small subunit ribosomal RNA", at positions 29 to 507 of the family's 1533-position model. The record is from RNAcentral.